This is a non-coding RNA of Mycena epipterygia, 91 nucleotides long. The record is from the annotation of a GenBank genome assembly. NCBI's taxonomy places the organism in Eukaryota, Fungi, Basidiomycota, Agaricomycetes, Agaricales, Mycenaceae.
GGCCCGGUGGUGGAUGGUCCGCGCCUGCUUUCAAUGGAUCUUUAUCGACGGAUACAUGCGGAAGUCGCUCGUUCAAAUCGAGCCCGGGCCC